Long non-coding RNA from Cyprinus carpio (common carp), 1034 nucleotides. NCBI's taxonomy places the organism in Eukaryota, Metazoa, Chordata, Actinopteri, Cypriniformes, Cyprinidae. The record is from Ensembl.
CUAAUUUGCCGUGAAAGCUGUGCUGUAAACAGAGCAUGACAGCUGGAGUCACUCAGCUCUUCCCUUCGCCCAUCAGUACACACACGAAGCAGGCUGUUUUGAGCACAUUUCUCUCAAAAGCCACACAAACACACAGAGUUGCAGUAAUAUGAAUCAGUGUUUGGCACCUCUUCUUGUGAAAAGAGGAGUAUCUGAGGAAAGCCAUAAUCCACUAUUCCCUCCUAACGAUGCCUCUGUGUGUGUUUGUGUUAAGUUCUGUGCUGCUGGAUGUUGAGGCUUGUUUGUGUUGGCCCGGACCCAGUGUCUUAUCAAGACUGAAAAUGAAUUUUUGCUUCAUCGUUGGAUUGCCCUCAUUUUUAAUCUUCUUUUCUUCCUUUCCAACAGACAAUCUGCUCCACUGGCACACAUUAAACUCUGCUGUCACCCAUCCCCAUAAAGAGACACUCUUAGCUGAGACACCUGUAAAAUGCAUGCAGUACGACAGAGCUGAGGGAAAAUGUGUGUUGCGCUUAAACAGCUCAGCAGCACAUCAUCGCUUCGGCCCAAAACUGCCUUCCUCCCACCAGCAGCAUGAAGAGGGACCUUGGACAGUAUGUCCAAACAAAACCGCUCCCUAAACCUCUCCCUGAUACUCUCCUCCUCUCCACGGCCCAGCAACCUGCUGGACAGAGACGUGACCGGAGGAAAUCCACUCAUUGUGACCCCCAUCGGCCGCGCUCUUCCUCUUCCUCUGUAUAUGGACUUUUCCUCCAGCACUUCACCGAAUCAGCGCAGGCUGCUGGACGCUGUCCGUCAGACACUAACGGAGGAACUGGGAAAAGUCAUUCGCUCCACUUCCUCCUGAACCUUUGUGACGCAGUCAAGCUCAGGAAGAGCUAGAGUGAAUAACUAAGCUCACAUCAUGUGUGUAAUAGACAUUGUUAGUAAAAUGUGCCUAAAGCUGUCAAAAGUCUCUUGUAGUAAAAUAUCAGGAAAAUUUACCUUUAAUAACAUUCAGAAAUUCAUUAUAUUUGUCUAAUAAAUGAAUAGAUAAA